RNAcentral lists this unclassified non-coding RNA (214 nucleotides) under root metagenome. RNAcentral's name for it is "partial contains small subunit ribosomal RNA, internal transcribed spacer 1, and 5.8S ribosomal RNA". The record is from RNAcentral.
UCUCCGUUGGUGAACCAGCGGAGGGAUCAUUACUGAGUAUAUCCUACUACUCUCAACCCUUUGCGAACGUACCUGUUCUGUUGCUUCGGCAGGCCGUCCCCUGGGAGGGGCAGCCAGCGCCUGCCGGAGGCCAACCAAAAAUUCUAGCUGUUUUUGUACCAUCUGAGUCUUCCACAAAUAAACAAAACUUUCAACAACGGAUCUCUUGGUUCUG